RNAcentral lists this ribosomal RNA (253 nucleotides) under uncultured bacterium. Its description in RNAcentral is "partial 16S ribosomal RNA". It matches the Rfam family "Bacterial small subunit ribosomal RNA", at positions 524 to 776 of the family's 1533-position model. The record is from RNAcentral.
GAUAGAGGGUGCAAACGUUGUUCGGAAUUACUGGGCGUAAAGCGUGUGUAGGCUGCUCCGCAAGUCGGAUGUGAAAGCCCUGGGCUCAACCUAGGAAGUGCAUUCGAAACUGCGGAGCUCGAGUCCUGGAGAGGAAGGCGGAAUUCUCGGUGUAGAGGUGAAAUUCGUAGAUAUCGAGAGGAACACCGGUGGCGAAGGCGGCCUUCUGGACAGUGACUGACGCUGAGACACGAAAGCGUGGGGAGCGAACAGG